Molecule: ribosomal RNA, 497 nt
Filed under: uncultured bacterium
Lineage: Bacteria
Description: partial 16S ribosomal RNA
Rfam family: Bacterial small subunit ribosomal RNA
Source: RNAcentral
GAUGAACGCUGGCGGCGUGCCUAAUACAUGCAAGUCGAGCGAACGGACGAGAAGCUUGCUUCUCUGAUGUUAGCGGCGGACGGGUGAGUAACACGUGGAUAACCUACCUAUAAGACUGGGAUAACUUCGGGAAACCGGAGCUAAUACCGGAUAAUAUUUUGAACCGCAUGGUUCAAAAGUGAAAGACGGUCUUGCUGUCACUUAUAGAUGGAUCCGCGCUGCAUUAGCUAGUUGGUAAGGUAACGGCUUACCAAGGCAACGAUGCAUAGCCGACCUGAGAGGGUGAUCGGCCACACUGGAACUGAGACACGGUCCAGACUCCUACGGGAGGCAGCAGUAGGGAAUCUUCCGCGAUGGGCGAAAGCCUGACGUAGCAACGCCGCGUGAGUGAUGAAGGUCUUCGGAUCGUAAAACUCUGUUAUUAGGGAAGAACAUAUGUGUAAGUAACUGUGCACAUCUUGACGGUACCUAAUCAGAAAGCCACGGCUAACUACGUG